Long non-coding RNA from Passer domesticus (house sparrow), 1806 nucleotides. RefSeq lists it as uncharacterized. The transcript is spliced from 4 exons. The record is from RefSeq and is a predicted model, not a curated record. NCBI's taxonomy places the organism in Eukaryota, Metazoa, Chordata, Aves, Passeriformes, Passeridae.
AGAAAAAUUUGGAUAGAGCCAACUGCUGCUACUCAGUUCUGGACGUGUCUAUGACCAGCCAAAGCAUCUGGGCAUGGAGCAGGGAGGAAUGUUUGGGGAGAGGGGUCUUGUUCCUCUGCUGGGGGAGGGACUGGGAUUGCCUAGCUUGUUCUGAGGAAGCAGAGCCCUUCUGGAAGCAGGAGGGCUCCCCAAGCCCCAGCAGCAGCUCUGCCACCUCAAACUGGCCUCUCUGAGCUGCUGGAAAGGAUCCAGAGCAGCAUCCAGACAGGCUCAGGGUUUUUUUUAGCAGGUAUUAAAUGUAUCUACCACCCCAACCCACCAGCACUGGGCACCAGCACUGCCAGAGCAGCAGCCACGGGACCACAGCUCAGCUACAGCUCACUGAGCAAUCCCAGAUGGAAAUUGGGGUUAUUUCCCUGGAGGUAAGGCUGAUGACUUGGGAAGGAUGCAAAGGCUGCAGACAGAAGCUCUUAAAGGCAGCCAAAAGAGUAAGACAGGCUGGUUCCUACAGUCAUGCCAUGGAUGGAUGGAUGCAUUUUCCAGGGUCUAACAUGGAUCAGUUCAGCCCCCUGCUUUGGCUGAAUUCCUGGGUAUUUAAAACUGUGAAUCCUCCCUGUGUCUGUCAGGUGUCAUCAAAAUGGGUUCAGGAAUUCCAGGUGUGGGAUGACAGGCCCUAAGGAUGAGGUCAGUGUGGACAUCACCCAUUCCUAAUUAGGCAUUAGGAAUAUCAACUCUAAUCAUCCCCAGCUGCCUCACAUGAGCUCUCUCAUCCCCUCAUUGGGCUGGGAGUCUGUUUAAGGCUGCUCAUGGUGUGAGCCUGGUUUUUUUCCUGGAUUCCCUGCCUCAUUCUCCUGCACUGCUCCCUGAUCUGCUCAGCAUCCCUCGAGCUGGACUGGCCCUGGAUCUGUGCUGCAUUUCCUUCUCAGGCAGGUGAGCCUGUGUGUGGCACUGGCUUUUGAAGCAGCACCACCAAAGGAGGUGAAACAAAAGACACUCAUUGAGGAGGUGAUGAUGAAGAGAGAAAUGGGGCUGAAGGUGCUUUUUGCUGCCACUCUGCCUCUUGGCUCAUAUGUAAAUUUUGGCCAUGGGAAGAGCUGGACACAAGCCAGGCCUCUGAAGCAGGAAUGAAAUGCUCAAAAAUGAGCAUUCCUGACUUUCUCCAGCCCAGGAGCACAGGAGAGAGCUGGCAGCUAUCAGUGACCUGCACAGGGAACGCCCUGGGAGCAGAGGCAAAGAAGAGGACAUCGAUCAGGUCGGAGGCUGGGCCACCCCGGUACUGCUUGAGAGCAGUCAGAGCUCUGCCAAAGAAGGGAAGAUCCAGGUUACAGGCACAGCAGGAAUUCUCUGGAGACUCCCAAGUGCCCAGAGACAAGCUGUGAGUAAGGACUGAACUCUUCCACAGCUGAACAAUGCUACCCCACAAGACUAAGCCCACACAAUUCCUGCAUCUCCCAACCCUUGCACACACAUCCCUGUGCAGAUCAGGCUUCCACUGCCCAUUGUCCCUGUUUGGUACAGCCAGAUGUGCUUUUUUGGGAUGUUUAUCCAGCAAGGAGCUGUUCACUCCUCCUGCCAGGAUGGAAAAGGCCCCACACAAAACCCAGAGUGUUCCAGAGGCAAUGCAACGGGACCAAAACACAGCCUGGAGGAGGAAAUGGAAGAGCAGGACCAGCCAGCAGGUGGGUAAACUGAGGCUGUUGUGAGGCUCUAGAAUGACAAAUCCAAACUGGGAAGGGACUGGGAAGAGCUUUUCCAGGCUCAGCUUGUCACUCCUCAUCCCGCUGGGCAGAGUGAGCCGGGCUGAGC